GACGAACGCUGGCGGCGUGCCUAAUACAUGCAAGUUGAGCGCUGAAGGUUGGUACUUGUACCAACUGGAUGAGCAGCGAACGGGUGAGUAACGCGUGGGGAAUCUGCCUUUGAGCGGGGGACAACAUUUGGAAGCGAAUGCUAAUACCGCAUAAAAACUUUAAACACAAGUUUUAAGUUUGAAAGAUGCAAUUGCAUCACUCAAAGAUGAUCCCGCGUUGUAUUAGCUAGUUGGUGAGGUAAAGGCUCACCAAGGCGAUGAUACAUAGCCGACCUGAGAGGGUGAUCGGCCACAUUGGGACUGAGACACGGCCCAAACUCCUACGGGAGGCAGCAGUAGGGAAUCUUCGGCAAUGGACGAAAGUCUGACCGAGCAACGCCGCGUGAGUGAAGAAGGUUUUCGGAUCGUAAAACUCGGUUGGUAGAGAAGAACGUUGGUGAGAGUGGAAAGCUCAUCAAGUGACGGUAACUACCCAGAAAGGGACGGCUAACUACGUG
This 497-nucleotide ribosomal RNA is filed under the name uncultured bacterium. Its description in RNAcentral is "partial 16S ribosomal RNA". It matches the Rfam family "Bacterial small subunit ribosomal RNA", at positions 28 to 507 of the family's 1533-position model. The record is from RNAcentral.